CUCCGGCCCGGGGGGACUGGGGCUUUUUUUCUGAUCUGGAUUGGCCUGGGCUUGGACAUCUAACUCCGCGACUCUUGAGAGAAUGUUGAAAUGAUCGCCUUGAACAUAUUUUGGUGUAAAUCCACCGGACCUGAUCUGCAAAUCAUCCUAGGGCCAGAUCGAGCUGAAACAAGUUCCCUAAACCCACCUUGGGCCGGACGCAUGAGCCUGGAGAGAGCUCAGGAGGAAG
Molecule: long non-coding RNA, 229 nt
Organism: Mustela lutreola (European mink)
Lineage: Eukaryota; Metazoa; Chordata; Mammalia; Carnivora; Mustelidae
Exons: 3
Source: RefSeq, a predicted model, not a curated record